UACGUAGGGUGCGAGCGUUGUCCGGAAUUACUGGGCGUAAAGAGCUCGUAGGUGGUUUGUCGCGUUGUCCGUGAAAACUCACAACUCAAUGUGGGCGUGCGGGCGAUACGGGCAGACUGGAGUACUGCAGGGGAGACUGGAAUCCUGGUGUAGCGGUGGAAUGCGCAGAUAUCAGGAGGAACACCGGUGGCGAAGGCGGGUCUCUGGGCAGUAACUGACGCUGAGGAGCGAAAGCGUGGGGAGCGAACAGG
Molecule: ribosomal RNA, 251 nt
Filed under: uncultured bacterium
Lineage: Bacteria
Description: partial 16S ribosomal RNA
Rfam family: Bacterial small subunit ribosomal RNA
Source: RNAcentral